CCAGACUCCUACGGGAGGCAGCAGUGAGGAAUAUUGGUCAAUGGUCGGGAGACUGAACCAGCCAAGCCGCGUGAGGGAGGAAGGUACAGAGUAUCGUAAACCUCUUUUGUCAGGGAACAAAGACUGGGACGCGUCCCCGGAUGAGUGUACCUGAAGAAAAAGCAUCGGCUAACUCCGUGCCAGCAGCCGCGGUAAUACGGAGGAUGCGAGCGUUAUCCGGAUUUAUUGGGUUUAAAGGGAGCGUAGGCCGGCUUUUAAGUCAGCUGUGAAAGUCCGCGGCUCAACCGUGGAAUUGCAGUUGAAACUGGAGGCCUUGAGUGCACACAGGGAUGCCGGAAUUCAUGGUGUAGCGGUGAAAUGCUUAGAUAUCAUGAAGAACUCCGAUUGCGAAGGCAGCUCACUGGACUGCAACUGACACUGAGGCUCGAAAGUGUGGGUAUCAAACAGGAUUAGAUACCCCCGUACA
Molecule: ribosomal RNA, 466 nt
Filed under: uncultured bacterium
Lineage: Bacteria
Description: bacterial SSU rRNA
Rfam family: Bacterial small subunit ribosomal RNA
Source: RNAcentral